This is a long non-coding RNA of Bactrocera neohumeralis, 3047 nucleotides long. RefSeq lists it as uncharacterized. NCBI's taxonomy places the organism in Eukaryota, Metazoa, Arthropoda, Insecta, Diptera, Tephritidae. The transcript has 4 exons. The record is from RefSeq and is a predicted model, not a curated record.
UCAUGCAAUGCAAUUUUCGUGAAUGCUGCGCAACGAUUGACCAUCGAACAAGAAAUAGCAAACAAAAUUGCGUUAUGGCUCCACAUAGAAAAUGCACUUUCAACAAUAAUUUCAAAGAGAAGUACGCGUUUAUAAAAAAGGCUGCACAUGAGAAUGAAGUGAAAUGUUUGAAAUGCAGUGCUGUUUUUUCCAUUGCUAAGGGUGGUAAAUGUGAUAUUGAACGCCAUUUGAUAUCGCAAAAACAUCGUAAGGCUGAUUUUGAAGCUUCAACCAGUCAAUCCGUUCUCAAUUUUGUGCGACCACGUACAAUGGAUGAUCAGGGAAUGAAGAUCAGCAUCAAUGAAGGUACUUGGGCGUACCACACCGUAAACCACAACUUUUCGUUUCGUUCUAAUGAUUGCACAUCAAAAUUAAUUAAAAGAUGUUUUGACGAAAACUAUUCAUCCGCUCGCACUAAAACUGAAGCUAUUGUGUGUAAUGUAUUAGUUCCAUACGUAUUGCAGCAAGUCGAAGCUGAUUUGCGGGAAGUUAAUUUUAUUUCCAUUUUCUCCGAUUGUUCAAAUCAUGGCAGCAUUAAGAUUUGUCCGGUGCUUGUCAGAUACUUCUUGCCGGAAAAGGGAUACAAAUAAAAAUAUUGGAUGUAAAGGAACUGUCAGGUGAAUCGUCAGUUCUCUGGUGGUGUCUUCAUGUGUGGAUCGCGUUGGUGCGGUAUGUUAUCGUUCAGUGACGUGUGCUGAGCGCUAAUUUAUCUAGCCAAUAUUAGGCGUGUUUUAUUUGACCAGCAAAUUAAGCUAUUAGCUUAUUUUGUAUGGAAGACUUAGCCAACAUUGCUUGCCUUUCAUCGGCAUUUCCGGACAAGGAACCAAAAAAGGCCGGGGCCGUAUCUGCGCUGUAGGGCGGCUGCGGAAGCAUUGGAUGCCGACUUUGAUUAGGUAGUUCUUCCCAAAAAAGAACGGUAUGAGCCGAAACGAUGCCAAGGUGCAACUUCCAAUCGGCUGCGAUGUCAUGUCGGACCCUAUUGACCCUUCGUUUGAGUCUUUUGGGGACAUUUACGUAAAACUUGGCGUUUACGGUUCGGCUUGCACCACACAGUAACACGUCGUGCAAAAAUGUUUGUCCUGACCCUCCAGGUGCUCGGAGACAACUGACCAGCCACUCGUUCAUUAGCUAGGAUCGCCUUCUACCGAAUCCAUUAGGUGGGCGCACUCUUCGAAGUACAGUCGCGGCGAAAAAAAGGUAAAUAUAGCGGUUUACUUCUGGCAUCCCGCCUUUUCUGAAAUCAGCUGAUCGAAAUUCCCUGAUCUCCUUCUCUGUCAAAUAAUCAGGGAACGCAUUUGAGAGAAAAAUGAGAGCAAAUGCGAGAGUUUCGUAUCAUCUUAUCCAUGCUGGCGGAGUGGCACAACAGCGAUCAUAAAUAUUCGUGAUAUUUGUGACCUAAUACAAUUGUGGUAAUUUGCGUUUAAAAUUAAAUUUCAUACAAUUGACUUGACUUGCGGAGUACCAUUUGCUAAGCCGUUGUGCCUAACUUGAGGAAUUUUGAUGGUUCCGUUAUUGAUGAUAGCGUGAUCAAGUUUACCCAUGCGCAUACCAACUAUGUAGAAUCACCUCUCAAUGUGGAUAAGGCAAUAACUGGGACAAUACUAAUUAGUAUGCCAAAUAUAAAUCGACACAAAUUAACUUUUCACCAGUUUAUUCCAAAUACGCCGCUACGACUAGGACGAUUACACCCGCUCAAUGCUCGCAUGGUUUAUAUAAAAUUUCGUCACAUUCUUCGCUGCCGUUUGGGUCCGGAGACGUGGACUUCCUGGGGAUAUGACAUGGCUUUGAAUAAACAUAUGCAGGAUAACUAAGGAACAUAACCGCGUAGGGCUCUAUAACAGACUGCCUUCAGUUGUUGGUGGACCCUAAAUGAACUCAUUUUUGCUCAUUCAUCCGCAUGCGUGUUUGGUCAGAUCCAGCACGUACCAAUGAGUUCCGUUUAUACGUCCACUUAUGGAGGGAACGUCUUUCAAAAUGCACAACCUCGCUUCAUAUCAUUGGCUAAUGGAGAUGGGUGCAGUGCUGCUGCACAAUAUAACCCCUUCUCUUCUGCACGCAACUAUUUCAGGCAACCAGAAAGAGGUUUUGUGCCCAUCAAUGAUAGUACUUGGAGGCAGGUUCAGAAUAAUUCUGACGUGAGUUUAAUCCCAUCACAUAUAGCGUCUAGACAAGCGAUAAGCAAAGAUUUGCCACCUUUCUCUGGAAGGCCAGAAGUAUGGUCAUUGUUUAUGACGAACUACGAACAACCAACAGAACGCUGCAAGUUUUCUGAACGAGAAAGCUUGAAUCGAGGCCGUUCGAGGGAAAUUGAUGAUGCCAUCUACAGUUCAUCGAGCCAUCGAAACUCUUCGCAUGUUCUUCGGGAGACCCGACGUUAUACAUAACACCCUACAACGGAAUUUGAAACAGAUGUCAGUAGUGAGGACCGAUCGACUGAAUACCCUUAUUGAUCUCGCGUUGGGUGUACAAAAUUUUAUUUUAUUUUAUUCAUAAUAAUUCAUAUAACAAAAAGAGUGUUAUUAUAUAAAUACAUAAACGCAGCACUGGCUACGAGGCCUUCAGCCGUCUUGUAAUUAUAACUAAGUGAAAAAUUCUAUUUGCUAAGGGUUAGUAAAGAUGUAAGUUGCUUAAAUAUAUUUUAACAAAUCGUUGGUUUUUAAGAAUCUACUUAUAUACAAUCAUCACGUUUUUUUCUGAAGGUUCACUUAGUAGUUUUAUGAGAUCAAUGUUGCCAGAGUUGUGGGCUGUUGGGUGAAGCAUCGGACAGAGUGUGAGUAAGUGUUUGAUAGAAGCGGUGUCAUCGCAAAGGGGGCAAAUGGAUGGGCUCUUACCCGAUAGUAAGUGGGCGUGUGUUAUGAUAGUGUGUCCAAUCCUUAAUCGAGUAUAUGUCUUCAUUGCGCUAGUUGGAACUGUUGACGAGUAGAUUAUACGAUUUCUGGCUGGGUUUAUGACCGCGUAGUGAUGUUUAAAUGUUUUCCAUUCGCUUGCGUUUUUUUGAUGCCUUUUGU